AAUCCGUAUUGUGGGUACCUUCUCAGGAGCUCCUUUAACCUUUCCCAUGUCUCGAAUAGAGACUCCAAUUUCGACUAUACAAAGAAUGACAUCUCAUUCCUAAGCUU
Dioscorea cayenensis subsp. rotundata (Guinea yam) is the source of this 107-nucleotide small nucleolar RNA. The record is from RefSeq and is a predicted model, not a curated record. Lineage: Eukaryota; Viridiplantae; Streptophyta; Magnoliopsida; Dioscoreales; Dioscoreaceae.